This 293-nucleotide long non-coding RNA is filed under the name Dermacentor andersoni. RNAcentral's name for it is "uncharacterized LOC126544899". Lineage: Eukaryota; Metazoa; Arthropoda; Arachnida; Ixodida; Ixodidae. The record is from RNAcentral.
CUCGGCGCAGAAGAGUUUCAUUGAAGAGCGUCACAUACCCAGUGCCACAUAUCUUGUGCCGCAUCCACAGUUACUUAUGUCGGCGCCGAAGAGUUUCAUUGAAGAGCGUCACAUGCCCAGUGCCACAUAUCUUGUGCCGCAUCCACAGUUACUUAUGUCGGCGCCGAAGAGUUUCAUUGAAGAGCGUCACAUGCCCAGUGCCACAUAUCUUGUGCCGCAUCCACAGUUACUUAUGUCGGCGCCGAAGAGUUUCAUUGAAGAGCGUCACAUGCCCAGUGCCACAUAUCUUGUGC